Notechis scutatus (mainland tiger snake) is the source of this 153-nucleotide non-coding RNA. The record is from RefSeq and is a predicted model, not a curated record. NCBI's taxonomy places the organism in Eukaryota, Metazoa, Chordata, Lepidosauria, Squamata, Elapidae.
AAAGAGAAGAAAAAAAGAAAUAGUAACAUAUAUAUUGAUAGCAAUAGUAGUAAUACAACAGAAUAAUUCUAAUCAUAUUUAUAAUUAUGUUAGCUUAUUUGUAAUCCUAUUGAUUAUAUUAGCAUACUUAUAAACAAUGUUUAUGUUUUAUUU